RNAcentral lists this ribosomal RNA (429 nucleotides) under Gemmatimonadota bacterium. RNAcentral describes it as "Gemmatimonadetes bacterium partial 16S ribosomal RNA". It matches the Rfam family "Bacterial small subunit ribosomal RNA", at positions 355 to 776 of the family's 1533-position model. The record is from RNAcentral. Lineage: Bacteria; Pseudomonadati; Gemmatimonadota.
UAGGGAAUCUUCGGCGAUGGACGAAAGUCUGACCGAGCAACGCCGCGUGAGUGAAGAAGGUUUUCGGAUCGUAAAACUCUGUUGUUAGAGAAGAACAAGGACGUUAGUAACUGAACGUCCCCUGACGGUAUCUAACCAGAAAGCCACGGCUAACUACGUGCCAGCAGCCGCGGUAAUACGUAGGUGGCAAGCGUUGUCCGGAUUUAUUGGGCGUAAAGCGAGCGCAGGCGGUUUCUUAAGUCUGAUGUGAAAGCCCCCGGCUCAACCGGGGAGGGUCAUUGGAAACUGGGAGACUUGAGUGCAGAAGAGGAGAGUGGAAUUCCAUGUGUAGCGGUGAAAUGCGUAGAUAUAUGGAGGAACACCAGUGGCGAAGGCGGCUCUCUGGUCUGUAACUGACGCUGAGGCUCGAAAGCGUGGGGAGCAAACAGG